CAGUAGCCACGGGAAUACGAAGGGGGCUAGCGUUGUUCGGAUUUACUGGGCGUAAAGGGCGCGUAGGCGGACUGAUAAGUCAGGGGUGAAAUCCCAAGGCUCAACCUUGGAACUGCCUUUGAUACUGUUUGUCUUGAGUUCGAGAGAGGUAAGUGGAACUGCGAGUGUAGAGGUGAAAUUCGUAGAUAUUCGCAAGAACACCAGUGGCGAAGGCGGCUUACUGGCUCGAAACUGACGCUGAGGCGCGAAAGCGUGGGGAGCAAACAGGAUUAGAUACCCGCGUAGUCCCUGUCUCUUAUAC
This 301-nucleotide ribosomal RNA is filed under the name uncultured bacterium. RNAcentral's name for it is "partial 16S ribosomal RNA". It matches the Rfam family "Bacterial small subunit ribosomal RNA", at positions 509 to 807 of the family's 1533-position model. The record is from RNAcentral.